RNAcentral lists this ribosomal RNA (458 nucleotides) under uncultured bacterium. RNAcentral describes it as "partial 16S ribosomal RNA". It matches the Rfam family "Bacterial small subunit ribosomal RNA", at positions 338 to 795 of the family's 1533-position model. The record is from RNAcentral.
CCUACGGGUGGCAGCAGUGGGGAAUAUUGCACAAUGGGGGAAACCCUGAUGCAGCGACGCCGCGUGAGUGAAGAAGUAUUUCGGUAUGUAAAGCUCUAUCAGCAGGGAAGAAAUAGCGACCUUUGGGUCGCCAGACGGUACCUGAUUAAGAAGCCCCGGCGAACUACGUGCCAGCAGCCGCGGUAAUACGUAGGGUGCAAGCGUUAUCCGGAUUUACUGGGUGUAGAGGGAGCGUAGACGGCAGCACAAGUCUGAAGUGAAAUGCCGGGGCUUAACCCCGGAACUGCUUUGGAAACUGUGCAACUGGAGUGCAGGAGAGGUAAGUGGAAUUCCUAGUGUAGCGGUGAAAGGCGUAGAUAUUAGGAGGAACACCAGUGGCGAAGGCGGCUUACUGGACUGUAACUGACGUUGAGGCUCGAAAGCGUGGGGAGCAAACAGGAUUAGAUACCCUGGUAGUC